GGUGGAAGGGAGGAAGACGCGGGAUGGGUAUCGUGGAGGUUCAAGAGGUCCAAGGGGUGGUUUAUGGUAGAAGAUUGGAUUUCAGGAGGGAAGCCAGGAGUCAACAUAGAGAAUUGGGAAUCAUCUGCAUGGAGAGCACCAGCCCUUCAAGUCCGGAGGACCUGACCUCAGACACUUAACACUUCCUGGCUGUUCCACCCUGAGCAAGUCAUUUAACCCCAAUUGCCUCAGC
This 232-nucleotide long non-coding RNA is filed under the name Sarcophilus harrisii (Tasmanian devil). RNAcentral describes it as "lncRNA (ENSSHAG00000020906.1)". Lineage: Eukaryota; Metazoa; Chordata; Mammalia; Dasyuromorphia; Dasyuridae. The record is from RNAcentral.